CAGCAGCCACGGUAAAACGAAGGGGGCUAGCGUUGUUCGGAAUCACUGGGCGUAAAGGGUGCGUAGGCGGAUUCUUAAGUCAGGGGUGAAAUCCCGAGGCUCAACCUCGGAACUGCCUUUGAUACUGGGGAUCUUGAGUCCGGAAGAGGUGAGUGGAACUGCGAGUGUAGAGGUGAAAUUCGUAGAUAUUCGCAAGAACACCGGUGGCGAAGGCGGCUCACUGGUCCGGAACUGACGCUGAGGCACGACAGCGUGGGGAGCAAAUGGGAUUAGAUACCCCGGUAGUCCCUGUCUCUUAUAC
Molecule: ribosomal RNA, 301 nt
Filed under: uncultured bacterium
Lineage: Bacteria
Description: partial 16S ribosomal RNA
Rfam family: Bacterial small subunit ribosomal RNA
Source: RNAcentral